GAUGAACGCUGGCGGCGUGCCUAAUACAUGCAAGUCGAGCGAACGGACGAGAAGCUUGCUUCUCUGAUGUUAGCGGCGGACGGGUGAGUAACACGUGGAUAACCUACCUAUAAGACUGGGAUAACUUCGGGAAACCGUAGCUAAUACCGGAUAAUAUUUUGAACCGCAUGGUUCAAAAGUGAAAGACGGACUUGCUGUCACUUAUAGAUGGAUCCGCGCUGCAUUAGCUAGUUGGUAAGGUAACGGCUUACCAAGGCAACGAUGCAUAGCCGACCUGAGAGGGUGAUCGGCCACACUGGAACUGAGACACGGUCCAGACUCCUACGGGAGGCAGCAGUAGGGAAUCUUCCGCAAUGGGCGAAGGCCUGACGGAGCAACGCCGCGUGAGUGAUGAAGGUCUUCGGAUCGUAAAACUCUGUUAUUAGGGAAGAACAUAUGUGUAAGUAACUGUGCACAUCUUGACGGUACCUAAUCAGAAAGCCACGGCUAACUACGUG
RNAcentral lists this ribosomal RNA (497 nucleotides) under uncultured bacterium. RNAcentral describes it as "partial 16S ribosomal RNA". It matches the Rfam family "Bacterial small subunit ribosomal RNA", at positions 28 to 507 of the family's 1533-position model. The record is from RNAcentral.